UUUUAGGUGGCUGAGAUCAAGCACUAGACUUUUAAUCUAUCCUACGGUAUUAAUAUAUACCCCUAGCAC
This 69-nucleotide transfer RNA is filed under the name Notocrater youngi. Its description in RNAcentral is "tRNA-Lys". Lineage: Eukaryota; Metazoa; Mollusca; Gastropoda; Lepetellida; Pseudococculinidae. The record is from RNAcentral.